UACAGAGGGUGCAAGCGUUAAUCGGAAUUACUGGGCGUAAAGCGUGCGUAGACGGUUGCGUAAGUCAGAUGUGAAAGCCCCGGGCUCAACCUGGGAAUUGCAUUUGAGACUGCGUAGCUAGGGUGCGGAAGAGGGAAGCGGAAUUUCCGGUGUAGCGGUGAAAUGCGUAGAUAUCGGAAGGAACACCAGUGGCGAAAGCGGCUUCCUGGUCCAGCACCGACGUUCAAGCACGAAAGCGUGGGGAGCAAACAGG
Molecule: ribosomal RNA, 253 nt
Filed under: uncultured bacterium
Lineage: Bacteria
Description: partial 16S ribosomal RNA
Rfam family: Bacterial small subunit ribosomal RNA
Source: RNAcentral